GACAGCAGCUGUCCUACAGGAAGAUGGCUAUUAAGGGAAGACCAAAGUGUCAUUAGGAGACUGCUGGCAUUGUGGAUUGAGCUGCCUGCUGAGCCCUGAGGCCUUCUGGUUGCAGAGAGAGAGCUGCUGGGGGCCUUGGCAGUGAGGCCCCCGAGGC
Spermophilus dauricus (Daurian ground squirrel) is the source of this 157-nucleotide unclassified non-coding RNA. The record is from Ensembl. NCBI's taxonomy places the organism in Eukaryota, Metazoa, Chordata, Mammalia, Rodentia, Sciuridae.